RNAcentral lists this ribosomal RNA (442 nucleotides) under uncultured bacterium. Its description in RNAcentral is "partial 16S ribosomal RNA". It matches the Rfam family "Bacterial small subunit ribosomal RNA", at positions 338 to 795 of the family's 1533-position model. The record is from RNAcentral.
CCUACGGGUGGCAGCAGUGGGGAAUAUUGGGCAAUGGGCGCAAGCCUGACCCUGCAACGCCGCGUGAGGGAAGGAGGCUUUCGGGUUGUAAACUUCUUGUAAGAGGGAAGAGCAGAAGACGGUACCUCUUGAAUAAGCCACGGCUAACUACGUGACAGCAGCCGCGGUAAUACGUAGGUGGCAAGCGUUGUCCGGAUUUACUGGGUGUAAAGGGCGUGUAGCCGGGCUGACAAGUCAGAUGUGAAAUUCCGGGGCUCAACCCCCGACCGGCAUUUGAAACUGUUGGUCUUGAGUAUCGGAGGGGCAGGCGGAAUUCUUAGUGUAGCAGUGAAAUGCGUAGAUAUUGGGAGGAACACCAGUGGCGAAGGCGGGCUGCUGGACGACAACUGACGGUGAGGCGCGAAAGCGUGGGGAGCAAACAGGAUUAGAUACCCCGGUAGUC